UGUAAGUGGAUUAUGUCACAAAGUGGGAUGCAACAAACACUGGGAGGAGGUUGGCAUCCAGGGUGUUCAGCGGAGGCUGGUACUGCUGUCCCUAUACCUCUCACCAUGUAGCAUCUCAUACCUGCAUCCUAUAAACCAUUCCCCCAACCUGUGCCCCUUCCAAAUACACAAGGACACACCAGCCCUUUCCACCCCACAUCCUGUCCCAAGAAAUAAAGCAACAGGAGCAAGUUGAUCUUCUGCACGGGUGGCAACAGUGCAGAUCCUUCAUCAUCAGUCUAUAGGUAGACCAGUUGUCAGGCUCCCAGACCUGUACAAUCCAAUGACCCUCUCUUACCAAGCCAUCUACCCACCCUUUCUCACAAGAGCCCAAAACAGACCACAGGAAACUCAUCCGCUCACAUUUGCUUGCUUUUAUUUGCAGUACCACAAGAGGACUCUGUGGUAACUGUCAACGGAGCUGUCGAUGUCCAUGACUUGAUCUGACUCAGCAUCCAGACUUCUGAGGAGUUGAGAGGUCUUGAGCAUGCUGAGUCCCUGACUUGGCCAGGUCCUCAGUAGAGACUCUGGUGCUCACUGAGACCCCUUCUUGACCAGGAUCAUUCUUGCGCGGCUCCACGUUGAGCCGACAGUGGCGCUCAGGAGAGGACAUUGCCCCAUCUCUCGCAAGAGUUCUCAAAGUUCUGUCAGCGAGUCUUUUCCUCAGCCUCCUACGUCGCCGGGAUCUUCUUCGCCUCAUGAAAAUCUUUUGAACCUGUAAGGACAGCACAGUGGUGGGCUGUAAGACCAAAAAGCCACAGGAUAGGGAUCUUGAAGAGUAGAAAUUGAUUUUCUCACAAUUCUGAAGGUGGAAACCCAAGAUCAUGGUUCCAGAGAGAUCAUCUCUUCUGAAGUUUCUGUUUUUCAACAUCUUCAUCCUAUAUCUUGUUGUAUAGUCUUGCCUCUCUGUGUAGCUGUAUUAUCUUCUAUGAUAAGGAUAUCAGUCUACUAGAUAGAAGCAACUAAGACGGUCUUGGUUCAUAUUUUCAGAGAUUUCAGUCCAUCGUGAGGGAGCUAUGGUGGAGUUCAUGUUUGGCCAGAAUGGAUGGCUAUGGCUCCAUAUAUGACACCCAGAAGGAGGCUCUGCUGGAAGAAGUAUUUUGUCACAGCAAUGAGAAAAGCAGCUAAAUCUGGAGAACUUGGUACUGGGAGUCCCUUGCUGUGAUUGAGCCUGAUCACGUGAUGCACGUGUUUUGACACUUGUUGGCAAGAGGAUGUGGAAGAGUUUGGAGCUGUGGGCUAGAGAAGCCCCAGAGAGCAUAAACAGAGAUUAACAGGCCAUCUUGGUUGGGAGGACGAAAGACCAGAAUGCUUAUACAAAUGCUGAUAGCAAACAUUGUGCUAUGAGGAUUCAGAUGGGAAUGAGGAGUUUACCAGGAACUUGAUCGACCCAAGACCAUUUAGGUUACACUCUGGCAAAGAAUUUGGCUACUUUCUGCCUAUGCUCUCAAAACUGGUGUGAAGUUGAAUUAACUGAAUGCAUAUGCCACACAGCCAUACAUGAGUGGAAACACAUACAUCAAACUAAAAAACAAAUGCAAUAUCAAAAACAAAAUUUUCAAAAAGUAAUGAACUGAUUAAUACAUUUGGUAGAGGGAAUUUUACCACAUCCUACCCUUCAAGUGGAGGCGUCAUUAUUGCUGGACGUACUUAGUCAGCUUUACAGUGAGAAAAGGCAGGGAUUAUUUUGCCUCAUGGUUUCAGAUGUUUCCGUCCAUUUUAGCAAAAAAGGCAUGGGACACAGAAGAAACAGACAGCACAGAUAGAACCAGAGCUGUAUAGAACCUUCAAGGCCUGUUCCUAGUGACCCACUUCUGCCAGGGUGGCCCCAUGUCCCGAAGCUGAGAACCACGUGUUCAAACAUUUGAGUCUGUGGGGCAUUCAAACCAUAACACUCCAUCCUUGUGUGGCUAAGGAGCACUUAAAAUUAGUUCAACUUCUUUAGCCAUCAGAGAAAUGCAGAUUAAAAUUACUUUGAGGUUCCAUUUCACAUAGUCAGAAUGGCCAUCAUCAGAAAUACAAAUGACAGCAAAUGCUGACAGGGGUGUGGGGAAGGGAAAGCCUUGUACAUUGUUUGUGAGAGUCUAAGCAGGUGGAGCCCCUUGGAUUUCCAUAGGACUAGCUAUACCUCUCCUGGUAUAUAGUCAAAGGAUGCUUCAUUCUAGCACAGAGACGCAUCCAUCUUCAUUGCCGCUCUAUUCACAAUUCCUAGGAAAUGAACUUAAUCUUCAUGUAUAAAAUUUGCAAGGAAAUGUAUGAAAUAAAAUGCUAUAUUGAAUGAGGUAACCCAGACUCAUAUAGACAAAUGCCACAUGUUCUCUUAUACAUGUAAAUACUACUUUUGAGUUGUUAGUUGUUUGUAUUUAACUCAAAGUAUGGGUAGAAGCCAAAAAACUAGAAAGGGGCUUUAGGAGGGGUGCACUAAGUGGGAGUGAUACUGGCAACUAGGUAAAAUGAGAUAAGAGAGGGAAAAUACUGGGAAAGAAACGUUUGAAUAGCAAAGGGAUGAAGGGAUGUGGAAGCAGGGAGGGUUAACCAAAACAAACCGUUUAUGAAAAAGCCAUUGGAAACCUACUAUUAUUUAUUUAUUUAUUUAUUUAUUUAUUUAUUUAUUUAUUUAUUUAAUUAUUGGUUUGUUUUU
Non-coding RNA from Cricetulus griseus (Chinese hamster), 2680 nucleotides. NCBI's taxonomy places the organism in Eukaryota, Metazoa, Chordata, Mammalia, Rodentia, Cricetidae. The record is from RefSeq and is a predicted model, not a curated record.